This 871-nucleotide ribosomal RNA is filed under the name uncultured Neocallimastigales. RNAcentral describes it as "partial large subunit ribosomal RNA". It matches the Rfam family "Eukaryotic large subunit ribosomal RNA", at positions 1 to 637 of the family's 3401-position model. The record is from RNAcentral. Lineage: Eukaryota; Fungi; Neocallimastigomycota; Neocallimastigomycetes; Neocallimastigales.
CGCAUCUGUGCAUGCAGCAUAUCAAUAAGCGGAGAAAAGGCUGCGGAACUGAACGACCGCUACCUACGCUUAGGAUGUUGAAGAUGUAGCACAUCAUACACGCACGACACACUGCAUAUCAAUAAGCGGAGGAAAAGAAACUAACAAGGAUUCCCCUAGUAACGGCGAGUGAAGCGGGAAGAGCUCAAAUUUGAAAUCUUAAAGGGUUUCCCUUUACGAAUUGUAGUUUAAAGAAGUGUUUUCUGUUGAGGUUUUGGUAAAAGUUCUUUGGAAUAGGACAUCAUAGAGGGUGAGAAUCCCGUAUUUGACCUUUACUUUCAACUUUGUGAUACACUUUCAAAGAGUCGGAUCGUUUGGGAAUGCAGUCCAAAAUGGGUGGUAAAUUUCAUCUAAAGCUAAAUAUUGGCGAGAGACCGAUAGCGAACAAGUACCGUGAGGGAAAGAUGAAAAGAACUUUGAAAAGAGAGUUAAACAGUACGUGAAAUUGUCAAAAGGGAAGCGUUUGACACCAGUGUUGUUUUUCUGAAAAUCAAUUAAAGAACUGUUUAUGCUAAGUUGUUUAGACUUUAUCAGCUAACUGUUUAGUUUUGAGCUUUUCUUUAAUGCACUUUUCAGUUAACAAGUCAACAUCAAUUUCUUUUGCUGUAAAAAAGCUCGAGGAAGGUGGCUUGAGAUUCGUCUUAAGUGUUUAUAGCCUCUUGCCUAUGCAGUCGGAGAGAUUGAGGUCUGCAGCGUAGAUCCUUCGGGGCUAAAUGCAUUUGUGCUAAGUUAUAACAUUUUAUAGACAACUUGUUGACUAUGAUUUGUCUUGUAGCUUACUCGCUUAUGUUACUUUACCUACGCUUAGGAUGUUGACAGCAGUAUAGACUGU